RNAcentral lists this transfer RNA (67 nucleotides) under Cebus albifrons (white-fronted capuchin). RNAcentral describes it as "tRNA-Gly". Lineage: Eukaryota; Metazoa; Chordata; Mammalia; Primates; Cebidae. RNAcentral also lists the same sequence under 2 other names. The record is from RNAcentral.
AUUCUCUUAGUAUAAACAGUACAAUUGACUUCCAAUUAAUAAGCCUUGAUAAACCCAAGAGAGAAUA